UGGGGAAUAUUGCACAAUGGGCGAAAGCCUGAUGCAGCAACGCCGCGUGAGUGAUGAAGGCCUUCGGGUCGUAAAGCUCUUUGAUCAGGGAUGAUAAUGACAGUACCUGAAAAACAAGCCACGGCUAACUACGUGCCAGCAGCCGCGGUAAUACGUAGGGGGCGAGCGUUGUCCGGAUUUACUGGGCGUAAAGGGUGCGUAGGCGGUCUUUUAAGCCAGAAGUGAAAGGCUACGGCUCAACCGUAGCAAGCUUUUGGAACUGUAAGACUUGAGUGCAGGAGAGGAGAGUGGAAUUCCUAGUGUAGCGGUGAAAUGCGUAGAUAUUAGGAGGAACACCAGUAGCGAAGGCGGCUCUCUGGACUGUAACUGACGCUGAGGCACGAAAGCGUGGGGAGCAAACAGG
RNAcentral lists this ribosomal RNA (403 nucleotides) under uncultured prokaryote. RNAcentral's name for it is "bacterial SSU rRNA". It matches the Rfam family "Bacterial small subunit ribosomal RNA", at positions 355 to 776 of the family's 1533-position model. The record is from RNAcentral.